Long non-coding RNA from Triticum dicoccoides, 1165 nucleotides. RefSeq lists it as uncharacterized. The record is from RefSeq and is a predicted model, not a curated record. The transcript has 3 exons. NCBI's taxonomy places the organism in Eukaryota, Viridiplantae, Streptophyta, Magnoliopsida, Poales, Poaceae.
UCCCUCCAAUUUCUAUCCCCAUGUCCACCCCCUCUUCCCCACGACUGCAUCCAGCGGCGAGAUUUGAGGAUCACGCCGCCGUCGCACCCUGCGGCACCAGCCGCGUAAUCCUUCUCCAAUGACAGCUGCUCGCCCGCCCUCUCAUCAAGCCCCGGCCGCCGCGCUCGCUCUCCACAACGAACGGCCGCCACGCCUCGCCGGCCAAGAUCGGAUCCGCCAACCCGCGACAUCGAAGUCGCCAGCGCCGCUCGCCUCAUCCUCACCAUCGCCCACUCCAGCGCCUUCCCCAGCUUCCUUUCUCACCUCGUGCUUUACCAAGAUCUGGACGUUGCCUCGCCACCCCUCCAUCACCCACUACUUGAUAUUAGAUGCUGAUUUAGAAGUUUGGUUUCGUCCAGUGACCAACAAGAUGGCGGCGGCUGGAGACAACAGGUUUGGAAGAGGCAACCCGAUGAUGCAGUGAGGCUAGGGGAUGGGUGAGAAACUAUGCAAGGAACCCCGCUGCCUGCAAUACCAUUAGAUCUGGUCCCCUUCCAACUAUUCGAGGGUAUAUUUUGCUGCUUCCUUAUUUCUUCCAUAAUUUCCGGAUGUAAGAUUUUUGAUCUGUAAUUUGAUUCUUCUAACCACCUAUUUAAGAUCUCCUUUUCCUAGUUGCAUUUCAUCUAGAUAAGGAGUAAGAUCAAUGCCCUUUGCUCUUCUCAAAGAUUGAGGAAGCAUCAUACAACAGCAGUGCGAGUACACAAUUAGCUGUAGCUGCAGAAGAAGAUGUGCACCAGGAGGAUUUAGCCGCGAGACAUGAAGCACAAGAUAGAGAAUUUAAAGAGAUGUAAAGAGGAGCCAACAAGAGAAUAAUAAGCCUGGCAAAAGAAGCAACAUGAGAUGGAUAACCUGAUUGGAUUUCUUUUAAGGGCUCAAGCAACUCAGCAAGCAAAUCAGUCCAACCUGAUGGUGCAUGAAGGCCAUCAUUUUGUGAAAGAAAGAUAGUUAUUUAAUCAUACAUUGCAAUCAUCAGGACAACAUAAGUGGUCUUUUAGUUAUCUAAAUAUUACUUUUUGUCUUAUUUAUUCUUGUGUCAAACUUGAGUCUGUGAUAUUUUUUAUUGUCAUUUCUAUUUAGAAGAUUUGGCUGACAGAUGGAAUAAAUAAUACUAUGAUUUGUCUUUAAU